Molecule: RNase P RNA, 375 nt
Filed under: Acidiferrobacteraceae bacterium
Lineage: Bacteria; Pseudomonadati; Pseudomonadota; Gammaproteobacteria; Acidiferrobacterales; Acidiferrobacteraceae
Description: RNase P RNA component class A
Rfam family: Bacterial RNase P class A
About the family: Ribonuclease P (RNase P) is a ubiquitous endoribonuclease, found in archaea, bacteria and eukarya as well as chloroplasts and mitochondria. Its best characterised activity is the generation of mature 5'-ends of tRNAs by cleaving the 5'-leader elements of precursor-tRNAs.
Source: RNAcentral
GGAGUCGGCCGGGUGAUCGCGAUCUUGUCUCUGCGGUGAUCGUUUUGCGUUGGUCGCGGUAUAAGAUCGAGGAAAGUCCGGGCUCCGAAGGGCAGGGUGCCAGAUAACUUCUGGGCGGUGCGAACCGACGGAUAGUGCCACAGAAAAGAUACCGCCAACUAAAUUAGUUGGUAAGGGUGAAAAGGUGCGGUAAGAGCGCACCGCGUUGGUGGUAACGCCAGCGGCAGGGCAAACCCCACCUGGAGCAAGACCAAAUAGAAAUCCUAUCGUGUUGCCCGCGCGGGAUUCGGGUAGGUCGCUCGAGAUGUGUGGUGACAUGCAUCCAAGAGGAAUGAUCACUCUCGACAGAACCCGGCUUAUAGGCCGACUCCCAUA